This 66-nucleotide non-coding RNA is filed under the name unclassified sequences. The record is from Rfam.
UAUAUUUGCCAGGCUAAUUAAAAAUUGAUUGGCUACAUAAGAAUCAUUUAUAACAAUAUUGGCAUG